Small nucleolar RNA from Salvator merianae (Argentine black and white tegu), 136 nucleotides. Lineage: Eukaryota; Metazoa; Chordata; Lepidosauria; Squamata; Teiidae. The record is from Ensembl.
AAGCACUGCCUUUGAACCCAGAGUGACUUUUUGGUAGCCUUUUGGGUUAAGCAGCAGUGCUAGAUUAUAAGGACUUGUUAUAACUGGGGCUUUUCAGUUGCUGACUGAAAGGCUCUUUUAAAAAUAAGGCACAUUU